GUCUACGGCCACACCGCCUGAACACGCCCGAUCUUGUCUGAUCUCAGAAGCUGCGCGGGGUCGGGCCUGGUCAGUACUUGGAUGGGAGAAAUUGAAUCCUUUUGAGGUGUAUC
This 113-nucleotide ribosomal RNA is filed under the name Erinaceus europaeus (western European hedgehog). Lineage: Eukaryota; Metazoa; Chordata; Mammalia; Eulipotyphla; Erinaceidae. The record is from RNAcentral.